Molecule: ribosomal RNA, 266 nt
Filed under: uncultured bacterium
Lineage: Bacteria
Description: partial 16S ribosomal RNA
Rfam family: Bacterial small subunit ribosomal RNA
Source: RNAcentral
GUCCACGCCGUAAACGAUGGGCACUAGGUGUCGGGGGUAUCCACUCCCUCGGUGCCGCCGCUAACGCAUUAAGUGUCCCGCCUGGGAAGUACGGUCGCAAGAUUAAAACUCAAAGGAAUUGACGGGGGCCCGCACAAGCGGUGGAGCAUGUGGUUCAAUUCGAUGCUACGCGAAGAACCUUACCUGGGUUUGACAUCUGGCGAAUUCCCUGGAAACAGGGAAGUGCCCGCAAGGGAACGCCAAGACAGGUGCUGCAUGGCUGUCGU